Periophthalmus magnuspinnatus is the source of this 279-nucleotide long non-coding RNA. RefSeq lists it as uncharacterized. The record is from RefSeq and is a predicted model, not a curated record. Lineage: Eukaryota; Metazoa; Chordata; Actinopteri; Gobiiformes; Gobiidae. The transcript has 3 exons.
GAGAGACAGAUGCAAAGCUACUGAGAACGAGGACUUGCACCUCUGGACAUGAUGGAUGAACCUGGAGACCGAGGAGACAGAGCACGGACAGUCGGAGGGAAGACGCUUCAGCCACGACACUGAGCCUGACUGACGCAAGAGAGGCAUCUAGUGGAGGCGCUUGGACAGAUUGGCCCUCCACAACUGUCUGCUUAUCUGGACCUAAACGCUGGAGAGAGGAGGAGGAGGGACAGAAAGACAUUUGGAGACUCUACAGGUCUGAAGACUCAAUUUUGUAAU